RNAcentral lists this non-coding RNA (24 nucleotides) under Arabidopsis thaliana (thale cress). The record is from RNAcentral. Lineage: Eukaryota; Viridiplantae; Streptophyta; Magnoliopsida; Brassicales; Brassicaceae.
UAAGGAGAUAUUGAGAAGUCUACC